AUAAACUAGAGGCUCUCAAGAGCCUGUAUCGCUCACCUGACUCUACUUGGGUUUUUGAAAUCAUAUAAAAAAAGAUAAAAUUUGGCUACAAAGUAACAACACUUGGCCACCACCUCAUUAGGAAAGGAACAUUUAUGCUAUGUAUGAUUUCAUUCAAUUCAGUGGUUCUCUAGAAGAAGACUUUUGUAUGCAUUUCCCAUAGUGUCCUAUGUUAAACAAAGUCACCCUACUGGCGGCCAUCUUGGAUGUUGGAUCGGCUACAAAGUAACAACACUUGUUCAACACCUCAUAAGGAACAUUCAUAUCAUGUUUGGUUUCAUUCGGAUCCAUUCAGUGGUUCUCUAAAAGAAGUCAUUUGUAUGAAUUUCCCAUAGUGUCCUAUGUUAAACUAAGUCCCCCGCUGGCGGCCAUAUUAGAUGAUGGAUCGGCUACAAAGUUACAACACUUGGUC
RNAcentral lists this long non-coding RNA (451 nucleotides) under Mytilus galloprovincialis (Mediterranean mussel). The record is from RNAcentral. Lineage: Eukaryota; Metazoa; Mollusca; Bivalvia; Mytilida; Mytilidae.